RNAcentral lists this ribosomal RNA (374 nucleotides) under uncultured bacterium. Its description in RNAcentral is "bacterial SSU rRNA". It matches the Rfam family "Bacterial small subunit ribosomal RNA", at positions 524 to 896 of the family's 1533-position model. The record is from RNAcentral.
UACGUAGGGUGCGAGCGUUAAUCGGAAUUACUGGGCGUAAAGCGUGCGCAGGCGGAUUAUUAAGCAAGACGUGAAAGCCCCGGGCUUAACCUGGGAAUGGCGUUUUGAACUGGUAGUCUAGAGUGCGUCAGAGGGGGGUGGAAUUCCGCGUGUAGCAGUGAAAUGCGUAGAUAUGCGGAGGAACACCGAUGGCGAAGGCAAUCCCCUGGGCCUGCACUGACGCUCAUGUACGAAAGCGUGGGUAGCAAACAGGAUUAGAUACCCUGGUAGUCCACGCCCUAAACGAUGUCAACUGGUUGUUGGGGGAGUGAAAUCCCUUAGUAACGAAGCUAACGCGUGAAGUUGACCGCCUGGGGAGUACGGUCGCAAGAUUA